UUCUGUGGCCAUAGCACCCUGAAUGCGACCAAUCUCAUCUGAUCUCGGAAGCUAAGGUAAAUCUUAAAUAGCAUUGAUAAAAUAAUUUUACAAGAGGAUGUAUAAUUAUAUUAA
RNAcentral lists this ribosomal RNA (114 nucleotides) under Prolemur simus (greater bamboo lemur). The record is from RNAcentral. Lineage: Eukaryota; Metazoa; Chordata; Mammalia; Primates; Lemuridae.